RNAcentral lists this long non-coding RNA (2914 nucleotides) under Zea mays. RNAcentral describes it as "long non-coding RNA (ZMAY_LNC003878)". The record is from RNAcentral. Lineage: Eukaryota; Viridiplantae; Streptophyta; Magnoliopsida; Poales; Poaceae.
AUGAGUUUAUGGUAUGUAUUUUUGAGAUGAAAAUUACAUGUUUGAGUUUUUGCUUUUCAAUUUGGUGCCCUUUUGCUUAAUUACAUUCACAUGUGAUAAUAUUCACAAAUGUGGGUGUGUGGAGAGGAAAAGCCUGAGUAACACCUGGGGUGUUACAAGUUGUAUCUAGGUUUCGUCCUAUAGUCAACAUUUCCUCUGAUACCACUUCUGUCACACCCGGAUUUAAGGGGUAAAGCCAGGUGCGUCUCAUAUGUGCGCCAAAGAAGAACAACACCUAUAAUGACCAAGUGUAUAGAGAUAAAUGUCACAAAUAUUAUUAUUACAUAGCGGAAGAGUCUUACAAAAAUAAGUGAUAACAGUAAAGUGAACUAAUAAUUAUUCCUUGGCACCAUAAGCUGACUACGAGACGCCACCUAGAUAAGCUCGUACUCCUCGUUGUGGACCUCCUCCUGGGCUACCUACUCUUCACCUGUGGGGGGGGGGGGUUAUAUAUCACAAGGGUGAGCUCACAAAAGAUCAUAGCUCAACAAGUAGUGGGGAAUAAUGUGCAUGAACUCACCAAAGGUGGGAGUUCAUGUAAAGUGUAAGGCUGAUCAACAAAUAAUGGUUAAAGCUGAGCAAUUACUAAAUGUAAGUAUAUACCAAACUAGAGUAAUAAUAGAUAAAAAUUAAUAAUAAAACCACAAUGCGAUGCAAAUGACUAGUUAAAUUUAAUUCCACAAGUUACUGAUGUGAGGGUCCGAGCCGCUCAUGACCGUGAGCACGGCUGAUAUACUAAUUUACACUCUGCAGAGGUUGCACAUCUUUACCGACAAGUCAUGUUACCCAUCUGCCAUGGGGUCAUAAAUCCCAUACACCUCUACCAAGGAAGCGAGCCAGGGUAACACUACGAGGCCUUUACAAAGUUCCACUAGCUUCAGAAAACCCGCUAUAGUUUCCAAGGAGCGAGGAAUCCCUCGUCUGAAAAGCCAUCGCAGCAAAAUCAACCCGAGAACCUCCCUAUACCGACCACUCCCCUACUUCCCUUGCCCCUUUCGGGUAAGGUAGUCCUCCACUAGUUUUCCUAAUUAGUCUGCCAAGGGCGUCCCAUACCACCCUUGUGGUAGCACUGUUUUCCUAGGGUGGUCGCUCCAUGUUCCAAUUAACAUAAUGAUCUUGUCAUGAACAGUAAAAACACAUUGAUAUUAAAAGCAUGAUCAUGAAUAAUGUGUAUCUUAACACCCAAAACCACAUAAAGCAAUAGCAGGUACUACCCAAAAGUUUUGUGGUAAACAAGGUAUAAAGAUAUCUAAACUGGGUGACCUAUUGGGUCCCAUCAAAAUAACCUAUGUAGAUCAUAAUGAUUAACAUGAACAUUAUUGGGUAAAUAGUAGUGGUCAAGGGCACAACUUGACUUCAACAAGCUGUUGCUCAGUAUUUUCCACCUGCUGAGCCUCAGUUGCAUGCCCAUCAAAUCGCAACAAUACAAACAAACAUGGUACAAGAGAAAUUAACAUCACACCAAUCAUGAUAACAUACUGCAUAAUAAUAUUCUACGCAUCGUAACGAAAUUGUAGGUUCAAGAAUCACUAAAUUCAGAGUUACGGUUAAAGAGUUAUGAUUUUCCGAAGUUUUACGUGUUUGGUAUGGAAUAAACUAUGUGGAUAAUUUUAAUCUAUCUUUCAUGAUAAAACAGAGUUACCAAGUGAUAAAUAAUAUUAAUACAUAAUUAAUGAACUAGAAUGGAUUAAUAAAGAGUUAACUUGAAUUACUUAUGAAUUUUACAAGAUUCUAUAAUUACUUCUACAUUGGAAAUCAUUUCCUAUACCCUUUUAUUCGAUUUUAUUUAUUAUCUGGAUUGCGCGCAUUAUUCUGGAGUUCUAUAGGGGUUUCUCUGCAAAAUUCAGGACCUCGGCGUAAUGAUUUUAUAAAAGACCAGGACUGCAGGUUGAUAACUAAAAACAUCAAGGGCACUUUUACAAAAUGGCACGGUCGAAGGGGUAUCAACGAAUCCUGGCCGUCCGAUCUCGACCGAUCGGCCCAGAUUAGAAUCAUGUGAUACAACACUUCGCAAUCCGUCCUGGCCGCUCGAUCCGGUUUUAAAGUUUGAGAGACGACCACGCCCCGACUUAAUCCAAAUCACUCAUCACCGAACCGACAUCCCAGAUCAAAUCUUGCGAAGUGGUACGUGAUGGUUAAUCUUAGUCGCCCACAGCUGAACAGACGGCUAGGAGACCUUCUCCUUCGUCGGUCAGCCCGCGACGGCGCAACAGUGGAUCACAGCGGAGCCCUCAUGCCGGCGAACCCAAUUCCCCAUUUCCUCACGGUAAUCACUCAAUCCUAAUAGUGCUAUCUCGUGCGGCAGUCCCCAUGAACGGUCAUGAGGGUCAUCACUAGGGGAGAUCCAGGUGAACGUCGCCCAAGGAGUCAGACGGAUUCACCGUACGUUUCGACCGUGGUUGCCCACCCUAAACAACCCCGGCGACCAACUAACCAUAUGGCGAUUCCCAGCGUGUAGGUAAUAGUGCAGAAAGGGCGCUCACCCGAGUCCGUGAUGAUGAUGGCGCAAUACACGAAGAGGUGCGGAGACGGUGCUCCGACAAGAAAUUGCCGCGGCUGGAUCGGCAAUCCAGCCCUAGAAUUCCCACGGGUAGUCACACGAUGUCUCUGGGGAAGCCCAGACCACGGCCAAUAGGUUUCUACGGCGGUGUACGGGGAAGUCAAUGGCGGCGGCCUCCAGCUGGGGUGAGGCUCUUGGUUCUUCGUAGGUUAGAGGAUUCGGAUGGUUAGGGUUACUAGAGGAGAGGUGGCGCAUGACAGCUUUAUGGCAAGCGGAGUAUGAACUCGCCAGCAACGACGCCGACGGAAAAGGGGGAAAGUUCGCUGCAGAUCUCGCGUGGUUUGUUGCCGCGACAGCGCAAAGGGAUGACAGGUG